Molecule: non-coding RNA, 687 nt
Organism: Paramuricea clavata
Lineage: Eukaryota; Metazoa; Cnidaria; Anthozoa; Malacalcyonacea; Plexauridae
Source: the annotation of a GenBank genome assembly
GGAAAAUGGCUGGGCAAGGGGGAUGGGCACACUUGGAUUUGGCUGAUGCAUUGGGCUAUUCCAUUAAAUAUCCGUACCCCCCUGUCGAGGAUCCCUGGAAUUCUUCAGGGGUAAAGGGUUUUGAGCUUGGAAUUCUUCAGGGGUAAAGUGUUUUGAGCUUGGAAUUCUUCAGGGGUAAAGAGUUUUGAGUUUGGAAUUCUUCAGGGGUAAAGGGUUUUGAGCUUGGAAUUCUUCAGGGGGAAAGGGUUUUGAGCUUGGAAUUCUUCAGGGGUAAAGAGGUUUGACUUUGAAAUUUUUCAGAGCUUGGAAUUCUUCAGGGCUGAAGGGUUUUCAGCUUGGAAUUCUUCAGGGGUGAAAGGUUUUGAGCUUGGAAUUCUUCAGGUGUAAAGAAUUUUGAGCUUGGAAUUCUUCAGGGGUAAAGGGUUUUGAGCUUGGAAUUCUUCAGGGGUAAAGGGUUUUGAGCUUGGAAUUCUUCAGGGGUAAAGGGUUUUGAGCUUGAAUUUUGGAAUUCUUCAGGGGUAAAUGGUUUUGAGCUUGGAAUUCUUCAGGGGUAAAGGAUUUUGAGCUUGGAAUUUUGGAAUUCUUCAGGGGUAAAAGGUUUUGAGCUUGGAAUUCUUCAGGGGUAUAACAAUGAAAAACAUGUAUCCUCGACAGGGGGUGUACGGAUAUUAAAUGGAAUAGCCCAUU